Molecule: long non-coding RNA, 2010 nt
Organism: Lemur catta (Ring-tailed lemur)
Lineage: Eukaryota; Metazoa; Chordata; Mammalia; Primates; Lemuridae
Exons: 4
Source: RefSeq, a predicted model, not a curated record
CAGUUCGGUUUUAUACAUUUCAAGGAGACCGGAAUUACAGGUCCCCACACACGGUUAACUAAAUGAGGACUUCCUGUGUGGGCAGCAACCACCAAAAAUUUGCAGAGCCGCAUACUUCUCUUUUGGGUGGACUUGUGAACAUCCUAAAAUCUUCCAUGGCCAAAUAAAAGGUGGUGAAACAAAAGUUGGCCUAAUCUAGUAUCCUAAGGACUAAAAAAGGUCUGGUGGGACAUCAGGGACACUGCCACGUAGUAGAAGAGCCUCUCGCUCACUGCUUGCACACAUGCAUGACCACCAUGUCCAUCAAAGAUGCCAAACAUCAGUCCGCUGGUCUGCAGGCAAGAGGCUACACCUCGCCGGUCCUCCACUGGGGAAUUGGCAGCCAGCUGAUUGCUCUCAUACCGCAACACUGAAUUUGGGACUCCACUGUCAAGGUCAAGAAUCUUGUGGGCUGACUCGCCAGCUCGAAGCACUUCAUUUACCUGCUCGGGGCUGAGUUGCAACUGGAAAUCAUCUUCCUCCGUGGACGUGUGUCUGUACGCCUUCUGAAGAGUAAAGCUUGCGCCGCCGCCGCCCGGUCGGUCCAGUCAGUUCCGCGCCUGCGCACAGCGCCACAGCUGCUGUCACCCCGGCCUCACCUCACUCAAGUGGCCCCUAGUCCGGACCCUGCUCCAGAAGGAAGCGCCCUCCUGCCAGCUCUGAUUGGUUCAAAAGCGGAGGCGGGCCCUUGACGGAUAGAGGAAUUGCCCAAUGGCUGAAGACGGCGAGAGACAGCAGAGGGGCGGGACGCGGAGGGCCCAAUGUGGCCCCUUCCCCUCGCCCGGGUUCUGGCGGUAUUUGAGCGCUGGGCUGCCGGACCAGGCAGUCACGUGCCUGAGCACCCCAUCUUUGCUGCCGCCACAUUCUACACACCCCGAACCGAGCGGCCUCUCCAAUUCCUUACUGUUGUUAAUAAUACCCCAUGGCUUCCUCGCCAUUUCAGUUUUGACCGCUCCAGAUGCCUCUCCUAAGCGCCACACCCUUUAUGUUCCGCCCCCUGCGCACCUCCCUCCGGAGGCCCCACGGGCGCCUCAGACAACUCAUCUUCCUGCCAAACCUACUUUUUCUCUUCUCUCUUAACACAGUAGUGGCCCCACCAUCUGUCCAGAGACCCAAGCCAGAAGACCGGCGGUCAUCUAGACGCUUCCCUCUGCCUCACCCUCCCUUUCUUUUCAGUUAUCUAAUCCUGUUCGUUUAGAGGCUUAAGUCAGUGACAGGUUAAAAAAAAAAAUCCAAUCCUACCUCCUAAAUGACUCUCCACCCAACUCCAAGCCUCUCACCGGGUCUCCCCUCCUCCACCUUCGACUUGGUCCUAACCACUCUUCCUCUACAGAGCGGCCAGAACAACGCUUCCAAAACUCAAAUUCCUGCUCUAACGUCCUCAUUGGCUUCUCACCAACCAUUGGGCCGUGAACUGACAAUUACAUUGGCCUGCCUCUGACAAUUAACACAGCAUGGUUAGCAGUUGGUAGGUUGAAAAAGGCAGAGAAACGGGACCCCAGACAGUCCCUCAGUCCCUUCUGGUCCUAACAUUGUGGGAUUCCAGUUAUCACCUGCUUCUUUAUAAAUUAUUUUAAUAGGACUCUUCUAACUGUGGUAAGUCAAACGGAAUCCUUCACUGGAGGCAGAGAAAAAUGGGACAGGGACCAGAAAAAGCCACUUGAAUCCCUGAGAAUUGUCUUCCAGAAGGAAGACACACUGGUGUACCUGGGGAGCCUGGCCAGCCUACUGGGACCCAAGGACAGGCCUGCAAUAAAACUGCUCCUGUCAGACUUGCCCUGGUAUAUUUAUACUGUCACUCGCCCUUAACCGUUUCUGGACGUUCUAAGUCAAGAUUUUCAAUCUCUCUCUUCCUGGACAUUAAGGGGACUGUUUCAGACCCAAACUAAAAAUAACUCUAAAUGGGUGCAAGGCAACUGGGAAGCACACUUUUUUUUUUUUUUUUUUAAGACUAGUCAAGUGCAGUAGUGA